RNAcentral lists this ribosomal RNA (254 nucleotides) under uncultured bacterium. Its description in RNAcentral is "partial 16S ribosomal RNA". It matches the Rfam family "Bacterial small subunit ribosomal RNA", at positions 524 to 776 of the family's 1533-position model. The record is from RNAcentral.
UACAGAGGUCUCAAGCGUUGUUCGGAAUCACUGGGCGUAAAGGGCGCGUAGGCGGUCAGCACAAGUCAGUUGUGAAAUCUCCGGGCUUAACUCGGAAAGGUCAACUGAUACUGUGCGACUAGAGUGCAGAAGGGGCAACUGGAAUUCUCGGUGUAGCGGUGAAAUGCGUAGAUAUCGAGAGGAACACCUGCGGCGAAGGCGGGUUGCUGGGCUGACACUGACGCUGAUGCGCGAAAGCCAGGGGAGCGAACGGG